GAUGAACGCUGGCGGCGUGCCUAAUACAUGCAAGUCGAGCGAACAGACGAGGAGCUUGCUCCUCUGACGUUAGCGGCGGACGGGUGAGUAACACGUGGAUAACCUACCUAUAAUACUGGGAUAACUUCGGGAAACCGGAGCUAAUACCGGAUAAUAUAUUGAACCGCAUGGUUCAAUAGUGAAAGACGGUUUUGCUGUCACUUAUAGAUGGAUCCGCGCCGCAUUAGCUAGUUGGUAAGGUAACGGCUUACCAAGGCAACGAUGCGUAGCCGACCUGAGAGGGUGAUCGGCCACACUGGAACUGAGACACGGUCCAGACUCCUACGGGAGGCAGCAGUAGGGAAUCUUCCGCAAUGGGCGAAAGCUUGACGGAGCAACGCCGCGUGAGUGAUGAAGGUCUUCGGAUCGUAAAACUCUGUUAUUAGGGAAGAACAAAUGUGUAAGUAACUAUGCACGUCUUGACGGUACCUAAUCAGAAAGCAACGGCUAACUACGUG
This 497-nucleotide ribosomal RNA is filed under the name uncultured bacterium. RNAcentral describes it as "partial 16S ribosomal RNA". It matches the Rfam family "Bacterial small subunit ribosomal RNA", at positions 28 to 507 of the family's 1533-position model. The record is from RNAcentral.